CAUAUUCACUGUUUAGAAUGUCAUAGGUGGACUAGAAACUGAAUGAAUGAGUGAGUGAGUGAGUAAAUGAAUGAAUAGAUUUAGCAGUUGUCUCAUGGCCUUAUUUUACAGAGAGCAAGGAAACUACGGCCGAGAGAACCCAGGUCCUGUGACUUGCGCCUUCUAUUUCAUCAUGCUUCCUUUUUCAGGAAAGGGAAGAGGAAGUUUGAGAGGGGUGGGAAGGGACUUUCUAUUUCCCGAGUUUUCUUAUUGCUAGGCUCUUUACAUUUACAGACUUGAUCUCAUUUCUUGAUCUCAUUUAAUCCUCUUCACAUCCCUGUGAGACUGGAAUUGCCAUCUCUGCUUAGCAUCAGGGACCUAAGGGUCGGAGAGAUUAGGUAACUUGCUCAGGUCACACAGCUGGUAAAUGGACACCCCAGUGUUCAAAGCCAGAUUUGUCUGACCCCAAAGUCUAAGAACCCAGAGGUAAACAGUGAUACCCAGUGAGUAGUCUGGAGGCCGAGGAGAGUGAUCACUGACCAGAAGAGGCUUCCUGCAUGAAGUGGAUCUGGAGUCCCUGAGGAUGAGAGAGGUUCAUUCAAAGCGAAAGGACUGGAGGGAUGGCUGAAGACUGAUGCUAGAGGGUGGACCCAUGGGGCCUGCAGUCACUCUGGCCGACCCUUCGACCCUCAAGAACCUCCAUCAGCGCCAGGGAGCCUGGGCCCGGAACUGCCUCUCUGCCCCAGCAGCACCCUCUUGGUGCCCUUCCCUCCCCUUCCUGUGCCCCAAUUUCCAGAGGGUCUGAACACACUGACCCCCAAAGAGAAGCCCUGCAGAGCAGA
Molecule: long non-coding RNA, 821 nt
Organism: Ovis aries (sheep)
Lineage: Eukaryota; Metazoa; Chordata; Mammalia; Artiodactyla; Bovidae
Source: Ensembl